AGUGUGCGGCGUGCUUACACAUGCAUGUCGACGAUGAAGUUCCUUCGGGGAUGCUUUAGUGGCGAAGGGGUGAGGAACACGUGAAGAAUCUGCCCUCCACUUUGGGAUACUCCGGGAAACCGGGGCUAAUACCGAAUAUUGAAACAUAAGCGGCAUCGCUGAGUUUUGAAAGAAUUUCGGUGGAGGAUGACUUCGCGGCCUAUCAGCUUGUUGGUGAGGUAAUGGCUCACCAAGGCAACGACGGGUAGCCGGCCUGAGAGGGCGACCGGCCACACUGGGACUGAGACACGGCCCAGACUCCUACGGGAGGCAGCAGUGGGGAAUAUUGGGCAAUGGACGCAAGUCUGACCCAGCGACGCCGCGUGCGGGAUGAAGGCCUUCGGGUUGUAAACCGCUUUCAGCAGGGAAGACGCGAAAGUGACGGUACCUGCAAAAGAAGCACCGGCUAACUAUGUG
This 456-nucleotide ribosomal RNA is filed under the name uncultured bacterium. RNAcentral's name for it is "bacterial SSU rRNA". It matches the Rfam family "Bacterial small subunit ribosomal RNA", at positions 39 to 507 of the family's 1533-position model. The record is from RNAcentral.